UAUAAAAUGGGCAAUUUUAGCCAUUGGUGG
This 30-nucleotide non-coding RNA is filed under the name Mus musculus (house mouse). Lineage: Eukaryota; Metazoa; Chordata; Mammalia; Rodentia; Muridae. The record is from RNAcentral.